Non-coding RNA from Cricetulus griseus (Chinese hamster), 8519 nucleotides. The record is from RefSeq and is a predicted model, not a curated record. Lineage: Eukaryota; Metazoa; Chordata; Mammalia; Rodentia; Cricetidae.
AAUACUCCUUGGCCUGGCUGCAGAGUUUUUUGUUGUUGUUGUUGUUGUUGUUAGUGGUGGUGGUCUUUUUGUUUUUGUUUUGUUUUUUAAGAAAGAGGGAAAGCCACAGGCACCAGGAGAGAGCGCGACACCCGGACCUGUAUCGGUGGGUGCAUCGUGGGCUCUCCCAGCGUGGGGAGGCGAAAGAGUUGCUGGAUGGUGCCUCUCCUAGGCGAGUGUGUGCUCUCGGCUCGCGGCGCGGACAGCCGUCUGCUCUUGGUCAUUGUCUGGACAGUCCCUGCGGCGGCGGCCCGGGGGGAUGCCCCCGCCCGGGUACCUGUGUGUGGUGAUGGGCGGCCACAGCCCUGUGCUGCUGUGGCCGCUGCUAUAUAAGGAAUUCCUCGUGCCUUUCGCACCCGGUGGCUCCGUGGGGCUCCCGCGGGGCGUUAAACGACGAGGGUUUUUUUGUUUUGUUUUGUUUUUUAAGAAUGGGGGAAUAAAUGCGCCCCUGAUGGCAUCGAUGUGGCGUCCGGAGAACUAGGAAAUCCUGUUUAAGUGGCAACCCUGGCGCGCCCCCCGCGCCCCACCCCCGCCUGGUCUGUCUUGCUCCCUCCCCUCCGGGAUGCCAAACGCCAGGUUUUGUAACCUUUCCUGGCAAUUUUAGAUUUUGUGUGGGAUUUCCUGUCUAGAAACAGAUAGGAAGAUUUUAGGCUGUUCCAAAGAGGUUUCCUCUCUGUUGUAAACACAUUUUGAAUAUAUCUGUGCCUACAUUAAAAUCCCCGCUGCCAUGAAUGAUUUUUCAGUUGUUCAGAAAAACGUUGCGUUUCAGAGAAGCCUGUUCGUUCAGAGGGAAAGGUGUGUAGCGUCAUUGUGGAGAGGUGACUGGUUGUGGCAAGGACCCGAGCACAGGCUACUGCAAUUGUAAUUUCCUGCUUCUAGCGUCAAAUAGUGUCUGUUCUACAUUGAGCUGUUGCCGCUAUUGCUGAUGUGGCUUUAUGAAAGUUUCCAGUUUAAAUUCUCAACUGGCAAUUGGCUGAAAAUUCCCAUCUGAAGAAGGGAGAACCCAAGUGUCAUGUGACCUGGUUACUGUCUACUUGACAUAGGAAGGAACCAUCAAGAGAAAUGGAGUGACUAGCACCAAAAGGAAAUCAACGGAUAAUCUUAACUUCCACCACAAGAAGACUGUAGCGGUUCCUCCCGCACCAAGAACCAUCCGCAGAUCUUUUUCAGUGUUCUUGGAGGUGGGCUGAGAGCUUGGUCAGUUUGUGUCAGCCACUUUGUUCUCUAAAGGGAGGACAAGAAGAUGUGUGCUGAUCUUGAAAAUGCUAUGUGAGAAGUAGGAUCUGGGUUUGAUUCCCAACCCACAUGGUGGUUUACAACUGUCUUACAACUCCAGUUCGAAAGGAAUCUGACUCUCUCUUCUGGCUUACCUGGGCAUCUGGUAAACAGACAUUCAUGCAGGAAAAACACUCAUGCACAUAAAGAAUAAAUAAAUUUUUAAAACAACAAGUUGUUUUUCUUUCUCAUUAGUACUUUAGAGAUAAUUCUGUUCAGUGUAUCCAUUAGGUUAUAUAACCAUAUGUGAUAGUGAUUAUCUUAUCAAUUCCGUAGCUGUCAUAGUUACUUUUUUUAAAAAAAAAACUUCUGUUGUAAAAUAUCAUGACCAAAGUUACUAAUGAAAGAAAGUGUUUAAUUUGGGGCUUAUGGUUCCAGAGGGUUAAAUUUCAUCACCAUCACAGUGAGGAGCGUGGCAGCAGGUAGGCAGGCAUGGAGUAGUAGGUGAGCUUACAUCUUGAUCCUCAAGCAGAAGGCAGAGAGCUAACUAGGAAUGGAAUGGCAUGGAAUUUGAAAACCUAUAAGCCCAUCCCCAGUGACAUACUCCUCCAACAAAGCCACACUCCCAGUCCUUCCCUAAAUAGUUGCAUUAACUGUAGACCAAGCUUUCAAAUAUAGGAGUUGGGGUGGGGGUGGGUGGCAUUAUCAUUCCAGCAGAAUAAAGUUUCUUUUAAAGAUCUGGUUUGGGGGGCUGGGGAGAUGAGUCUGUGGUUACAGGGCUUCUUAUAUAAGAAUGAGGGCUGGAGUUCAGGUCUCCAGAACCCACAUAAAUGCCAGGUAAGUAUAACAGCAAGCCUGUAGUUCCAGUCUUGAAAGGUGAAGACAGGAUUCUCCAGAGCAAGCUGAAUAGCAAGACUAGCUACAUCAGCAUAUCUUCGUUUGACUGCUUUAAUGAAACAAAAUGGAAGAGCCAUCGAAGAUGACUCCUAACAUCAACCUCACACAUGGUCGCAAACAUGCACAUGUGUAUACACAUGGAAAACAACAAAUGCAGAGCUCUGGUUUCCACACAGCCCCAUUUUCUUUCUUGUGCUGGCCUUACUUAUAGUAAGUAUCAUUGAGCCACUCACUCAGCUCUGUAUAGUCCUUUUUCUCAUUUUAGGCUUAGUUGGUAAUCACUGAUAAUUUUUUUUGCAGAUUUUUUAAUUUGAAUUAGAAUCAAGAUUGUUUUACAUGACAAUCCCAGUUCCCUCUCCCUCCCCUCCUCCCCUACCACCCCACCCCCCAACUAAAACCCUACCUAUCACAUAUCCUUUCUGCUCCCCCUGGAUGGUGAGGCCUUCCAUAGGGUGUCAUCAAAGUCUAUUGUAUCCUUUGGGAUAGGGUCAUCCUCUCCUGAUACAGGUUGUCACAUCUGCUAUGUGUUGGUGAUUGCAGUGGCCAUGUCAGGUAUUCUUCCCCAGCACCCUUUUAUCCUCUUCUACAGUGUCUCCUGUACCUCAGAGAAGAUUAUAUAGAUGCCCAUUUAAUGCUGAGCACUCAGCAGUUACUUGCAGUGCUCUGACCAGGUUGAGUCUCCACUUUGACUAUCACCCAUUGACUAAGACUGGGAGCUACACUAGUCUAGAGAUAAAACCUUAAGUAUUUAGAAGGCAGUUUUAACUACAUAUUCUUUUAGCAAAAUAACAGUAGUAGAUCCUACCAUAUGGUCCAUGUCCUUCCUAGUCAUGACCAUUGACCAAUACAAAGCCAGUACUUUCUUUAAUGGAGCGGGCCUCAAAUAGUCAGGAAGUGGUUGACAGCUGCCAAAAUAGUUGUACCAGCAUUGCACCAAUGGCUAUAUCUUGUCUAGCAGGUUGGUAUUAUACCACUCAGUAUUUCAUUUUAAGUAGGAAUUGGUUUUUGGUUAUACAUAUUAUAGAUCUUUUCUGUAAUAUGUAAUGUGUCUUUAAAAAUUUAAUUCAAAAAUUGGACUCAUCUGUAUUGUGUGUAACCUUUUGUACAACUGUUUAAAGCAGAAAUCAACAAAUUAUGACUAAUGCACCAAAUCCAUCUCUCAGCUUAGUUUUUAUGACCCUCAAAGUCAAGAACUAUUUUGACAUUCUUAUUAAAAAGGAUUGCAUGGAUUACACACACACACACACAUACACACACACACACACACACACACACACACACACGAAUGUGGGACAAAGGCAAUAUAUUGGUUGGUUGAUUGGUUGGAGUUUAUUUUGACAAACUUUAAUUUACACUUAGGUCAGUUUUCCUUAGUUCAUUGUUUGGGGUUUUUAUUAACUACUAGUAAAUCUCUAAGUUAUUUAGCAAUAAAAUAUUGUAGUGAAAAUAGAAAGUUCAAUUCCUAUGAGAAUGAAAAAACAGAGCUAAAGUUAUUGGUUGUAUUUUACAAUGGUUGUAGCUAUAUACCAACACUUUCCAAUUUCUUACCAUCCAGUACUGGAGCCAGGAAGGCUGCUCUAGAUGUUUAGCUAGAGGUCCCUACGGCCUCAUGGAAAAUUUCUUUAUGUAGGGAAUUAAAGUAGAUGUGUAUCUUUGGCUUGAUUUAUUUGUUUUAAAAUGGACCUAGAAAGUUAUAUGUUCAAAAAUAUUGAAGUAAAAGCUGUGAGUGAACAAGGGACAUAUAGUUUCAAUGACAAGAAGGAAAGAUAAAUGAAGGUGCUCAAGUUUGGUUCUCACAGCAAAUGUGGCUCAUCAAGCAAGAAAGAUCCUGAUAGGAAAGCAAGCAGAGAAAGAUAUAGGGAACUGCAGAAGACUGCAGUACGCUGAAUGUAAACUUUAUGACAUGAGCAGGAGUGUUUCUGUAAGCUCAUGAGAAAAUGAAUACACUGAAUAAUAAAAACACAGAGAUGCACACAUUCUGGCAAAUGGUCUGCAUUAGACCUAUAUGGUGCUGGAGCUGUUACUGCCGGGCUGUGGUAGACUGAUUGCUACCUAGUGAGCAGGCAUUGCCCUGUGUUCCAUUCAUGUGCUGUGUUCUCUCCAUGGGUAUGAUGUGUUUACUCCUCCAUUGAUAAAAUUAUAGUUAUUAUGCACGGUCAUUUUGUCAUUUCUGUUUUCUCAGCCCAUUGACUUGUUGAUGAAGUCUUUACCUUUUAUCAUAAUUCCUCCUGUGUAUAGUUUAUAGUGUUGUGGAAAAGAAUAGGUUUUAGGUAUUUGUAUGAUUGAUUUCUUGUUUCUCUUAAAUUGAGCAGAUUUGUCUAUCUGUAGAUACUGUUAAUACAAAAUUCAAGAAACUCCAUACAUUUUGAAGGCCUGCUAAGCCACUGGUUUUAAAAGUUCUAGGCAGCAGAAUCACCUGGAGAGCUGCUCAGGCAUGGACUCUGCCAUUGUCGUUCAGGUUCUGUAGAUGGGGCUUAUGAAUAUGUAAAAAAAGUUACCAAAUCCAUAAGGUGGUGUUGAAACUGUUAAUCCAAGACAUGUUUUGAGAAUGGCUGAAGUUAACUAAUAACGGAACACAUACAUGGGGGCAUUAAAAACAGAAAUGUUUGAAUUGCACACAUUGAAUGAUUUUGUUUCUCUGUUACUUGGUUUUACCAUUGAAGCCAAUAAUGACCUCAUCCCAGGUAAUGGCAGCAAACUAGUCUUUAUUUUAAUAAGCGCCAACAUAACGCCUUGUUUGAAGAAAACUGUGAAAUAAGCCUGCUUCUAUUUUAUUUUAUACAUUUAAAAAUAGUGCUUUGUUCCAUGACAAGUCCUUAUGAAGCUCAUUUUUCAAGUCAGAAUCUUGGGUUGUUCAUCUCUCAUCUGGCACGAGAGGGUCAAGUCCUGUGGGGUUUGCUUGUUUCUUCCUGUAAGAUACUCAGUGAGGCAGGAACAAUGGCUCAGCAUUCCAGAGUGCUUCCUGUUCUCCAGAGCACCCAUGUCAGCUCCCAGCACUUAUGCAGCUCACACCCACCUGUAACUCCAGCUCCAGGGUCGACGCCUCUGGUCUCCAUGGGAAUCCAUAUGUGCAUAUACAAUCAAAAUAAAAUGUAUGGAUCUUAAGAGUUUCCUAGCAUAUUAUUUGCAUUGCAAAUUCAGUUUUGGUAUUAUGAAAUUAAUUUUUCAAAGAACUACCAUAAAAUUUGACUUUAUUUUUGAGAUUAUAAUUACAAUAUUUCUCCCUUCCCUUUCUUCCCUCAAAGACCUCCCAAAUACCCCUUCCUGUUCUCUUCCAUACUCAUGGCUUCUUUCCAUUAAUUGUUACAUGCACAAGUGUCUAUAUAUAUACAUAUAUUCCUAAAUAUAAUCUGCUCUGUUUGCUGUGUUACUGGUGUAUAUGUUUUCAGGACUGACCAUAUAUGUUCCAGUAUAUCUAAUUUGGUUUCAGUGUAAAGAGAUUGGUAAUGCUAAUGAGAAAGUAAAAUUAGCAUGUCUUUGCAGAAAUUAUAUUUUCUGAUAUCUUUUAAUAGGAAAAGAAAUUUUCUGAAAAUGCAUACAAUUUUAAAUAAAACUGCAUUUGCUAUGAACAGAGUGGUUAUAUAUAUUAAAUUUCUAGAUAUUAAAUAUUAAGUAUAUUACCCUAUUGGAUAUUUAAAAAUUUAAAUCAGAUUUUUAAAAGCAGGAACAAUGUAAUUGAAACAGGAUAUUUAAUUUUAUGACUAUAGUUAGACUUGAAGAUUGUGUGUGUGUGUGUGUGUGUGUGUGUGUGUGUGUGUGUGUUGCACAUCUGUGUAUAGCUGUAGAGGUCACAGGGUAACCUUGUGUGUCAUUUUAAGGAUGCUACUCACCUAGACUGGAACCUGGGGCUUGCUAAUUAGACUAGAGGAUGGCUGGCCAGUGAGCAGCAGGGAAUCUGCCUGGCCCUGCCUUCCUAGUACUGGGUGCCAGGGUGUUCCUCACACUACCUUUUCAUGUGGGUCCUGGGGUCAAGCUCAAGUCCCGUGUCUGCCUUUACCAAAUGAGCCAUCUUCCUAGCUCCUGAAAGUUGUUUUUGGUGUGACCUUUGAUCCUCUGAUUGUCGUGUGCUCUUUUCCUAUAAUCUGUUAACUUUGGGCUCUUCGUAAUGUUUGCAUUUCUUCAGCAGUUCUCUUGUCUGAAAAGUAAUAAAUGCAUUUUACCGCUAAACAAGAAGCUAGCUGCAGUUGAUACUCACUGGCAAAGGAAAAUGGUUGUCUCCAAUGGAGUGUCACUGUGUGUGCCAACCACACUUCAGGCAGUCCAGAUGCCCAGGAGUAAUUGGCCAACACAAAAUGAAGUCAGUAGUAUUUUUGUAGACUUUUUGUUUUUGUCUUUCCAAGGUUUUUGUCUGUUUGAUUUUUGUUUUGUGUGUGUGUGGAGGAUUGGUUGGUUUGGUUCUUUGGUUUGUUUGUUUUGUGAAAAAGAAAACAAAGUUGGGUGGGUAGAGAGGUGGGAGGAUCUGGGGAGGAGAAAAACAUCAUCAAAAUGUAUAAAAAAUUAAUAAAAAAGUGAGAAGAAAUUAUUACAGCUGAGAACAAUUGCUUUUCACAUGCUAGGGACUUCUGUAAUGGCUUUCCAUAAUUCAUCAAUGAAUGAAAGUCAAAUGAUAAAUGUAUCUGCUGUUUGUAUACACACAGAAAUAAUAAAUGCUUCUUAAUUUGUUAAUACAAGCUCUGGUUCUGUGCUUUAAACAUCUUUACUUGGCUAUGCACAGCACUGUGGCAAAUACUCAGUUAUAGAAAAAGUUACCAGUUUAGUGACCUUGUGCUCUUUUUUAAUGUAAUGUUCUGAUUACAAGCAAGGGCUUGUCUCCCAUUUGACAUGAUUUUACCACACCGUUACAGAAAACAGUGGCAAGCAGCCAUUCUGCAGUACCCCCUGCUUUUGCACAGCACCCCAGUCUUGCAGUGCACUGGGGUAGAGUUUGGAUACUGUGGUACCACUGGGAAGUGUUGUGCUAAGCUGUGGGCCCUGACUUUGAUCUUGCUCAGAUUGCAUUCCCCCUCUUAUUUAUUUGAUUUGGAAGUAGAAAUAGUAGAGGGUGAAGGAGGUCUCUGCCAGUGAGACACACGGUGGCUAAGAUUGGAAAGAUAAGAGAUGGGUGACCUUAGAGGAUGUGAGUGUUUGACAGGAGAGGCCUUCAAAUAUGGUCAAGGUCACAAGACAAGAGACCUGCUUCAUGGGUGUGUGAUCUAUGUAGAGGACCCAUUCUAAAAUGGGCCAGAUGCUUGGUAUAAUUCUUAAUUUUCAGAUGAGGGUCUGAUAUCUUCUUAGGCCGCAAAGUCCCACAAACUGUGGCCUAUACCAUAGUAGAAAUAUAAUAAGAGGACAGGAAGCAGAGAUUUCUUCUCUUUGAGUCUCAUUCCUUUUCAUAACAUUACCAGACUAGGAGUUAUUUUUCAAAUGAUGACUCAAAGACAUAGAAAAUUUGGCCCAAUUUCAAUGUAAUUAUAUGGGUAUAUAGAUAUUCUGUAAUGAAGAAGCUUGGUAAAAUUUUCUUAUAUGAUAUCAAAAGUAAUCACAUUUCUCAUAUAGAGACUCUAUGAAGUCAGAUCAGUACAGUUAUAUAAUCUGAGAAGCAAAAGUGAUUUGUGCUCCUGAAUGUUGGUUUAUUCUAGGAUAGUCUUUCUUGCUUUCUUUUUUUCUUCUGUAGUUCUUCUCUGGGGAUUUGAACCCAGAGUCUCACAUGUGCCAAGCAAGUGAUACUUCCUUUUCAGUAUAGUACUUUUAUUAUUUGAUAAUCACUUUUUCUUACUAUUGUUUUUGAAGUAGCCUUUGUCUCAUGAAUUUAUUGCAGUACUAGUAAGUUUUAUUUUUACAAAGACUUUAGAACAUGAAGUGUGGAAACUCAGAAUCUCAACACUUUUGAUUUUUUUAAGGAAGCCUAUUAGUUUCCUAUUUUUGAUAGUUUUACAGUGGUCAAAUAUUUAAAGUGGAAGGUACUGUUUGUAAAAUGCCUAGACCCAUUUUUCUAGAUCUCUUCCUUGUUAGCAUUUCCCUGAUGUUAUUGACUAUAGAACAAACUGAAACAAACCUCUGCUUUAAUGAUAGUUCCCUCUAUUCUAAUAAAUGGUGGUACAGGGUGAGGUACCGGGUUACCUGAAUCCACAGGGAUCUGAAGAGACUGGAGUGGGGCAAUUCAGAUGAUUUUCUGAAAAUCUGUAACUUUGCUAUAUGAGUGCCAGCCAGAAGUGAUGGUGUUAGAACCCUGCUGGUACAGGAGACACACCUGUUACUUAAGGGAGUAGAAAAGAGUGAGGGAGGCUAUAUGAUGUCAUAUGAAUUGGUCAUCAAUCUCAUUAUCAGGGGAGGGCAUUUAAGGUAGCCUCUCCUCUGUUGCUUAGAUUGUUAGUUGAUGUCAUCUUGUA